CGAAAUUGCAUGAGCUAAUCUUCAUCAUCUAACUAUUAUGUAACAUAAUAAUAUUGUGAAUGAUGAUUAGGGGUGAUAGGCCUCUCAAAUGCAUGAUAUCUUGAUUCUUAAAAUAUGUAAUAGUACAAAGACAAAUUAACAGUUAUAAGGCUUUUAAUAAUAAUUAAUUAUGAUUACCUCCACAAGUGGGUUUAAUAGCCUACAUAUAUAAUUUUAUAAUAUUAAUGAUGUAUAAAUUAUUUUAACUAUUAAGACUCAAUGAACCUUAAUGUUUGAUAACAAUGUUUUCAUUAGUAUUUAGAAGUUAUUAAUAGUGAAUUCGGCAUUUUGUUUUCAACUGUUUACCAAAAACAUAGCUACGUGAGAAUACACGUGGUAAGUUCUGCUCAAUGAUAUAUUAAAUAGCCGCAGUACCCUGACUGUGCAAAGGUAGCGUAAUCAUUUGUCUCUUAAUUAGAGUCCUGUAUGAAAGAAUAAAUGAGGGCAAUCUUUACCAUUAAUAAAAAAAAAAUUUACUUAAUGGGUGCAAAUACCCAUGCUUAAAUAAUAGACGAGAAGACCCUAGAAAUUUAUAUAAAUGUUUUGUUGGGGCAACAUAGUAGCAUGUAAUCUACUAUAUGUAUAUGACAUCUUUUUGAAAAAAAAAAUUACUCUAGGGAUAACAGCAUAAUCUAUAAAUGUUUGUGACCUCGAUGUUGGAUUAGGGAGUUGUUGUUUAGA
This 720-nucleotide ribosomal RNA is filed under the name Parachloritis laritame. RNAcentral describes it as "partial 16S ribosomal RNA". The stretch from base 332 to 484 matches the Rfam family "Archaeal large subunit ribosomal RNA", at positions 1886 to 2087 of the family's 2987-position model. The record is from RNAcentral. Lineage: Eukaryota; Metazoa; Mollusca; Gastropoda; Stylommatophora; Camaenidae.